CACGUCAGCGCGACCUGCUGACGUGGAGGGAAAUCGCUUUCUCAAGGACGCGAUUUCCCUCCACGUUGCAGGCCGCGCUGACGUGG
Non-coding RNA from Gossypium raimondii (Peruvian cotton), 86 nucleotides. The record is from Rfam. NCBI's taxonomy places the organism in Eukaryota, Viridiplantae, Streptophyta, Magnoliopsida, Malvales, Malvaceae.